This is a non-coding RNA of Myotis davidii, 75 nucleotides long. The record is from Rfam. NCBI's taxonomy places the organism in Eukaryota, Metazoa, Chordata, Mammalia, Chiroptera, Vespertilionidae.
GUCGGUUCUUGGGUGACACACCCCAGAAUCGGGCUCCCUCCUCUCUGGUUCCGGGUGCAUCACCCGAGAACUGCA